GAGGUGUGUAAACAAUUAGAGCUGCUAACUCAAAUCACUAAAAAUAAAAUUUUAGACCUCUUA
RNAcentral lists this transfer RNA (63 nucleotides) under Phoenicolacerta kulzeri (common Eurasian lizard). RNAcentral's name for it is "tRNA-Ser". Lineage: Eukaryota; Metazoa; Chordata; Lepidosauria; Squamata; Lacertidae. The record is from RNAcentral.